RNAcentral lists this transfer RNA (75 nucleotides) under Dehalococcoidia bacterium. RNAcentral describes it as "tRNA-Ile". It matches the Rfam family "tRNA". From Rfam's summary of the family: Transfer RNA (tRNA) molecules are approximately 80 nucleotides in length. Their secondary structure includes four short double-helical elements and three loops (D, anti-codon, and T loops). The record is from RNAcentral. RNAcentral also lists the same sequence under 1 other name. Lineage: Bacteria; Bacillati; Chloroflexota; Dehalococcoidia.
GGGCCCGUAGCUCAGUGGUAGAGCGGUCGGCUCAUAACCGAUUGGUCCCAGGUUCGAACCCUGGCGGGCCCACCA